RNAcentral lists this unclassified non-coding RNA (442 nucleotides) under Clinopodium thymifolium. RNAcentral's name for it is "partial external transcribed spacer". Lineage: Eukaryota; Viridiplantae; Streptophyta; Magnoliopsida; Lamiales; Lamiaceae. RNAcentral also lists the same sequence under 1 other name. The record is from RNAcentral.
GUAUUGCGUGAUGGAUCCCUGCUCGGGCAGCGACAUCAUGGCAUCCGCGUCUCUUCAUUUGUUGGCACGAGCAUGUGCAUGCUCGUGCGGCGUUGGUUUUCCUGUGUUGGAUUCCCGUAUCGUGGCAUCCCCUGUCGGUUAAAAUGUCCCUCAGCCCCCUUGUGCUGCUGCUCCUCGCGGGCGAGCGGCGCGGGGUGGCCCUUAUAGCGCACGCCGUGUGUCCCCUCCCGUUCGCCCUGCAAGAAGGGCGUCCGGGCUGACGAUCCACGGCUUGAUGCUCGGUCUCUUGGGUACGGAACGUCGUGUGGGGUACGGGGCCGCCGGCCUCGGAGCACCACUAACACGCGUUCUACGCUUCGUGCGAACGACUGCCGGCCCGGUCUCCGGCUGGCCCUCGUGGCUCGGUUCGGAGCCGUGCCGGCGUCGGUGAGGAAUGCUACCU